RNAcentral lists this ribosomal RNA (724 nucleotides) under uncultured bacterium. Its description in RNAcentral is "bacterial SSU rRNA". It matches the Rfam family "Bacterial small subunit ribosomal RNA", at positions 86 to 796 of the family's 1533-position model. The record is from RNAcentral.
UAGAGAUGAGUGGCGAACGGGUGAGUAAUACAUAGGUAACCUGCCCCUGUGCGGGGGAUAACAGGAGGAAACUCCUGCUAAUACCGCAUAGCCAUGAGCACCGCAUGGAGCUCAUGCCAAAUAUCCUUUCGGGGAUAGCGCAGGGAUGGACCUAUGGCGCAUUAGCUGGUUGGCGGGGCAACGGCCCACCAAGGCAACGAUGCGUAGCCGGCCUGAGAGGGCGGACGGCCACAUUGGGACUGAGACACGGCCCAGACUCCUACGGGAGGCAGCAGUAGGGAAUUUUCGGCAAUGGGGGAAACCCUGACCGAGCAACGCCGCGUGAGCGAAGAAGGCCUUCGGGUCGUAAAGCUCUGUUGUAAAGGAAGAACGGCGCAUACAGGAAAUGGUAUGCGAGUGACGGUACUUUACCAGAAAGCCACGGCUAACUACGUGCCAGCAGCCGCGGUAAUACGUAGGUGGCGAGCGUUAUCCGGAAUCAUUGGGCGUAAAGAGGGAGCAGGCGGCCGCAAGGGUCUGUGGUGAAAGACCGAAGCUAAACUUCGGUAAGCCAUGGAAACCGGGCGGCUAGAGUGCGGAAGAGGAUCGUGGAAUUCCAUGUGUAGCGGUGAAAUGCGUAGAUAUAUGGAGGAACACCAGUGGCGAAGGCGACGGUCUGGGCCGCAACUGACGCUCAUUCCCGAAAGCGUGGGGAGCAAAUAGGAUUAGAUACCCUAAGUAGUCC